GUGAGCUGGAGCACGAAACGCUGCUACGGCAGAGGAAACUCCUCCCUCCUUACAGGAAAUGUGAUUUGGAGAUAAAUAAUCAGAGAUGAUUGGCAACGGAGCAGAAAAAAAAUCCAAUAUGGCGCACAGUGAUGGCAAAACCUGAGGUUUCCAUAAAAGGAAUGAAAAAAGCCGACCCACAUGGAGCAAGGCCAAACAGAACUCAAAGUGCCUGUACUAAGUUCAGGUAGGCUGCAAAGCGAAAUAUCGUGAAAACAGAAGGAGGGUUACUCCCAGCACAC
This 281-nucleotide RNase P RNA is filed under the name Candidatus Nitrosopumilus salarius BD31. RNAcentral describes it as "Candidatus Nitrosopumilus salaria BD31 Archaeal RNase P". It matches the Rfam family "Archaeal RNase P". From Rfam's summary of the family: Ribonuclease P (RNase P) is a ubiquitous endoribonuclease, found in archaea, bacteria and eukarya as well as chloroplasts and mitochondria. Lineage: Archaea; Thermoproteati; Nitrososphaerota; Nitrososphaeria; Nitrosopumilales; Nitrosopumilaceae. The record is from RNAcentral.